RNAcentral lists this ribosomal RNA (497 nucleotides) under uncultured bacterium. RNAcentral's name for it is "partial 16S ribosomal RNA". It matches the Rfam family "Bacterial small subunit ribosomal RNA", at positions 28 to 507 of the family's 1533-position model. The record is from RNAcentral.
GAUGAACGCUGGCGGCGUGCCUAAUACAUGCAAGUCGAGCGAACAGACGAGGAGCUUGCUCCUUCGACGUUAGCGGCGGACGGGUGAGUAACACGUAGGUAACCUACCUAUAAGACUGGGAUAACUUCGGGAAACCGGAGCUAAUACCGGAUAAUAUUUCGAACCGCAUGGUUCGAUAGUGAAAGAUGGCUUUGCUAUCACUUAUAGAUGGACCUGCGCCGUAUUAGCUAGUUGGUAAGGUAACGGCUUACCAAGGCAACGAUACGUAGCCGACCUGAGAGGGUGAUCGGCCACACUGGAACGGAGACACGGUCCAGACUCCUGCGGGAGGCAGCAGUAGGGAAUCUUCCGCAAUGGUCGAAAGCCUGACGGAGCAACGCCGCGUGAGUGGUGAAGGUCUUCGGAUCGUAAAACUCUGUUAUUAGGUAAGAACAAACGUGUAAGUAACUGUGCACGUCUUGACGGUACCUAAUCAGAAAGCCACGGCUAACUACGUG